CGAUGAAGUAUAACUGCGACU
This 21-nucleotide small nuclear RNA is filed under the name Arabidopsis thaliana (thale cress). RNAcentral describes it as "snRNA_03935". Lineage: Eukaryota; Viridiplantae; Streptophyta; Magnoliopsida; Brassicales; Brassicaceae. The record is from RNAcentral.